Molecule: ribosomal RNA, 460 nt
Filed under: uncultured bacterium
Lineage: Bacteria
Description: bacterial SSU rRNA
Rfam family: Bacterial small subunit ribosomal RNA
Source: RNAcentral
UUGCUUCCACUGAGAAGAUAGUGGCGAACGGGUGAGUAACACGUGGGUAACCUGCCCAUAAGAGGGGGAUAACAUCCGGAAACGGGUGCUAAUACCGCAUAGUUUUCUUGAUCGCAUGAUUGAGAAAGGAAAGACGGCCUUUGUGCUGUCGCUUAUGGAUGGACCCGCGGCGUAUUAGUUAGUUGGUGAGGUAACGGCUCACCAAGACGAUGAUACGUAGCCGACCUGAGAGGGUGAUCGGCCACAUUGGGACUGAGACACGGCCCAAACUCCUACGGGAGGCAGCAGUAGGGAAUCUUCCGCAAUGGACGAAAGUCUGACGGAGCAACGCCGCGUGAGUGAAAGAAGGUUUUCGGAUCGUAAAACUCUGUUGUCAGAGAAGAACAAGUUGGAGAGUAACUGCUCCAGCCUUGACGGUAUCUGACCAGAAAGCCACGGCUAACUACGUGCCAGCCGCCGC